This 1066-nucleotide ribosomal RNA is filed under the name uncultured bacterium. RNAcentral's name for it is "bacterial SSU rRNA". It matches the Rfam family "Bacterial small subunit ribosomal RNA", at positions 420 to 1504 of the family's 1533-position model. The record is from RNAcentral.
GGGUUGUAAACCGCUUUCAGCAGGGACGAAACUGACGGUACCUGUAGAAGAAGGAGCGGCCAACUAUGUGCCAGCAGCCGCGGUGACACAUAGGCUCCGAGCGUUGUCCGGAUUCAUUGGGCGUAAAGAGCUCGUAGGCGGUCGAGUAAGUCGGGUGUGAAAACUCUGGGCUCAACCCAGAGACGCCACCCGAUACUGCUCUGACUCGAGUUCGGCAGGGGAGUGGGGAAUUCCUCGUGUAGCGGUGAAAUGCGCAGAUAUGAGGAGGAACACCGGUGGCGAAGGCGCCACUCUGGGCCGAUACUGACGCUGAGGAGCGAAAGCACGGGUAGCAAACAGGAUUAGAUACCCUGGUAGUCCGUGCCGUAAACGGUGGGCACUAGGUGUGGGAUUCAACUAACGGAUUCUGCGCCGUCGCUAACGCAUUAAGUGCCCCGCCUGGGGAGUACGGUCGCAAGACUAAAACUCAAAGGAAUUGACGGGGGCCCGCACAAGCAGCGGAGCGUGUUGCUUAAUUCGAUGCUACGCGAAGAACCUUACCUGGGUUUGACAUGUUUGGAAAAGCCACAGAGAUGUGGUGUCCGUAAGGGCCAAACACAGGUGGUGCAUGGUUGUCGUCAGCUCGUGUCGUGAGAUGUUGGGUUAAGUCCCGCAACGAGCGCAACCCUCGUUCUGUGUUACCAGCAUUUAGUUGGGGACUCACAGGAGACUGCCGGGGUCAACUCGGAGGAAGGUGGGGAUGACGUCAAAUCAUCAUGCCCCUUAUGUCUUGGGCUGCACGCAUGCUACAAUGGCCGGUACAAAGUGCUGCGAAAUCGUAAGAUUGAGCGAAUCACAUAAAGCCGGUCUCAGUUCGGAUUGAGGUCUGCAACUCGACCUCAUGAAGUCGGAGUUGCUAGUAAUCGUAGAUCAGCAACGCUACGGUGAAUACGUUCCCGGGGCUUGUACACACCGCCCGUCACGUCACGAAAGUCGGUAACACCCAAAGUUAGUGGCCCAACCGCAAGGGGGGAGCUACCUAAGGUGGGAUCGGUGAUUGGGACGAAGUCGUAACAAGGUAACCGUA